CAGUGUAUGAUUGACUUUCAAAACGUGAGCUACAAACACACGGUCAGUUGCUCAGGUACUCAUAACAGUGGAAACAUAAAAGUAACAUUAAGCCGUCAUUAUUAUGAAUGGAAAUCGUAAAUAGUCAAAAAAAGAAAUUACCAAAAAAAGGGAAGAAAAAAGUAGAAGAGAAUAAGAAAGAAAUUGAAAGAGAGGAAGGGGAAAUUGUAGUAAAAACAAAGAAGAAGUAAACCGAAAAAAAAAAAGAAUAAAAGGAAAUCAUUAGUUGCUUAGUUAAAGUUAAUCAUUUGCAUUGCCAAGGAUACAUGAAAGAGACGGAGAAUCAUUAGCUGCUCGAU
Non-coding RNA from Schizosaccharomyces pombe (fission yeast), 338 nucleotides. The record is from the annotation of a GenBank genome assembly. Lineage: Eukaryota; Fungi; Ascomycota; Schizosaccharomycetes; Schizosaccharomycetales; Schizosaccharomycetaceae.